CUGGCCAUCUGGUGGUGCCUGCACUCCUCGCUGCAGAACGGCGUGUCCCCUCUGUACAUGAAGAUGUCGCGGUCCCCGGCGAGGCGCUUCCCGCAGAGGGAGCAGGCGUCCAUGGCGCGGCGUGCAUCGCAGAUUCGAAGCAGACCGCCAGCGCAUUUUGGCCGCCCUUCUGCUCUGCUCGCCUUGGUGCCGCCGGCGUUGUUAACUGCGAUGCCGCAGAAUCCACCGGAAGAUCUGCAGCAGCACUAA
Molecule: unclassified non-coding RNA, 249 nt
Filed under: Zea mays
Lineage: Eukaryota; Viridiplantae; Streptophyta; Magnoliopsida; Poales; Poaceae
Description: misc RNA Zm00001eb251000
Source: RNAcentral